RNAcentral lists this ribosomal RNA (377 nucleotides) under uncultured Gammaproteobacteria bacterium. Its description in RNAcentral is "bacterial SSU rRNA". It matches the Rfam family "Bacterial small subunit ribosomal RNA", at positions 521 to 896 of the family's 1533-position model. The record is from RNAcentral. Lineage: Bacteria; Pseudomonadati; Pseudomonadota; Gammaproteobacteria.
UAAUACGGAGGGUGCAAGCGUUAAUCGGAAUUACUGGGCGUAAAGCGCUCGUAGGCGGCUUGUUAAGUCGGAUGUGAAAGCCCCGGGCUCAACCUGGGAACUGCAUUCGAUACUGGCAAGCUAGAGUAUAGUAGAGGCAAGUGGAAUUUCGGGUGUAGCGGUGAAAUGCGUAGAUAUCCGAAGGAACAUCAGUGGCGAAGGCGACUUGCUGGACUAAUACUGACGCUGAGGAGCGAAAGCGUGGGGAGCAAACGGGAUUAGAUACCCCGGUAGUCCACGCCGUAAACGAUGUCAACUAGCCGUUGGGGGGCUUAGUCCCUUUAGUGGCGCAGCUAACGCAUUAAGUUGACCGCCUGGGGAGUACGGUCGCAAGACUA